GACGGAGGAUGCAAGUGUUAUCCGGAAUCACUGGGCGUAAAGCGUCUGUAGGUGGUCAAAUAAGUCAACUGUUAAAUCUUGAGGCUCAACCUCAAAAUCGCAGUCGAAACUAUUAGACUAGAGUAUAGUAGGGGUAAAGGGAAUUUCCAGUGGAGCGGUGAAAUGCGUAAAGAUUGGAAAGAACACCGAUGGCGAAGGCACUUUACUGGGCUAUUACUAACACUCAGAGACGAAAGCUAGGGUAGCAAAUGGG
RNAcentral lists this ribosomal RNA (253 nucleotides) under uncultured bacterium. RNAcentral's name for it is "partial 16S ribosomal RNA". It matches the Rfam family "Bacterial small subunit ribosomal RNA", at positions 524 to 776 of the family's 1533-position model. The record is from RNAcentral.